Molecule: long non-coding RNA, 319 nt
Filed under: Erythranthe guttata (spotted monkey flower)
Lineage: Eukaryota; Viridiplantae; Streptophyta; Magnoliopsida; Lamiales; Phrymaceae
Description: long non-coding RNA (EGUT_LNC003005)
Source: RNAcentral
CAGCCUCUUCGUACUUAAUAUCUCGUCCGACAGAGAAUCCAUCCAUGCACCGGAUAUCUUCACUGUCUGGCAUAUUACAAAUCCAAAAGUGAACCGAGCUAAAUCCGGUUGAUUUCGUCGUGAUUUCGUCGAGGUUGGAACCAACCAAUUUCGAUUCGAGGGGCUGCAAGACAUAAUUUCCGUGGAAAAGGAAUAUUCUCGAGUCCACGUCAGCACCGAUCCUGUUGAGUUUGUUCUCGAGGCACCAAUUUAGUGCCUCCCUGUCCAAAUCUAAGCCCACGGCAGUUCGUCUAGCAUCAUUGUGGAGCCAUUCUACACU